AGAGUUCGAUUCUGGCUCAGGACGAACGCUGGCGGCGUGCUUAACACAUGCAAGUCGAACGGAAAGGCCCUGCUUUUGUGGGGUGCUCGAGUGGCGAACGGGUGAGUAACACGUGAGUAACCUGCCCUUGACUUUGGGAUAACUUCAGGAAACUGGGGCUAAUACCGGAUAGGAGCUCCUGCUGCAUGGUGGGGGUUGGAAAGUUUCGGCGGUUGGGGAUGGACUCGCGGCUUAUCAGCUUGUUGGUGGGGUAGUGGCUUACCAAGGCUUUGACGGGUAGCCGGCCUGAGAGGGUGACCGGCCACAUUGGGAUUGAGAUACGGCCCAGACUCCUACGGGAGGCAGCAGUGGGGAAUAUUGCACAAUGGGCGGAAGCCUGAUGCAGCAACGCCGCGUGCGGGAUGACGGCCUUCGGGUUGUAAACCGCUUUCGCCUGUGACGAAGCGUGAGUGACGGUAAUGGGUAAAGAAGCACCGGCUAACUACGUGCCAGCAGCCGCGGUGAUACGUAGGGUGCGAGCGUUGUCCGGAUUUAUUGGGCGUAAAGGGCUCGUAGGUGGUUGAUCGCGUCGGAAGUGUAAUCUUGGGGCUUAACCCUGAGCGUGCUUUCGAUACGGGUUGACUUGAGGAAGGUAGGGGAGAAUGGAAUUCCUGGUGGAGCGGUGGAAUGCGCAGAUAUCAGGAGGAACACCAGUGGCGAAGGCGGUUCUCUGGGCCUUUCCUGACGCUGAGGAGCGAAAGCGUGGGGAGCGAACAGGCUUAGAUACCCUGGUAGUCCACGCUGUAAACGGUGGGUACUAGGUGUGGGGUCCAUUCCACGGGUUCCGUGCCGUAGCUAACGCUUUAAGUACCCCGCCUGGGGAGUACGGCCGCAAGGCUAAAACUCAAAGGAAUUGACGGGGCCCCGCACAAGCGGCGGAGCAUGCGGAUUAAUUCGAUGCAACGCGUAGAACCUUACCUGGGUUUGACAUGGAUCGGGAGUGCUCAGAGAUGGGUGUGCCUCUUUUGGGGUCGGUUCACAGGUGGUGCAUGGCUGUCGUCAGCUCGUGUCGUGAGAUGUUGGGUUAAGUCCCGCAACGAGCGCAACCCUUGUUCACUGUUGCCAGCACGUUAUGGUGGGGACUCAGUGGAGACCGCCGGGGUCAACUCGGAGGAAGGUGGGGAUGACGUCAAGUCAUCAUGCCCCUUAUGUCCAGGGCUUCACGCAUGCUACAAUGGCUGGUACAGAGAGUGGCGAGCCUGUGAGGGUGAGCGAAUCUCGGAAAGCCGGUCUCAGUUCGGAUUGGGGUCUGCAACUCGACCUCAUGAAGUCGGAGUCGCUAGUAAUCGCAGAUCAGCAACGCUGCGGUGAAUACGUACCCGGGGCUUGUACACACCGCCCGUC
This 1383-nucleotide ribosomal RNA is filed under the name uncultured bacterium. RNAcentral describes it as "bacterial SSU rRNA". It matches the Rfam family "Bacterial small subunit ribosomal RNA". The record is from RNAcentral.